Molecule: ribosomal RNA, 487 nt
Filed under: uncultured bacterium
Lineage: Bacteria
Description: partial 16S ribosomal RNA
Rfam family: Bacterial small subunit ribosomal RNA
Source: RNAcentral
UUGAACGCUGGCGGCAGGCCUAACACAUGCCAGUCGAACGGUAACAGGAAGCAGCUUGCUGCUUUGCUGACGAGUGGCGGACGGGUGAGUAAUGUCUGGGAAACUGCCCGAUGAGGGGGAUAACUACUGGAAACGGUAGCUAAUACCGCAUAACGUCGCAAGACCAAAGAGGGGGACCUUAGGGCCUCUUGCCAUCGGAUGUGCCCAGAUGGGAUUAGCUAGUAGGUGGGGUAACGGCUCACCUAGGCGACGAUCCCUAGCUGGUCUGAGAGGAUGACCAGCCACACUGGAACUGAGACACGGUCCAGACUCCUACGGGAGGCAGCAGUGGGGAAUAUUGCACAAUGGGCGCAAGCCUGAUGCAGCCAUGCCGCGUGUAUGAAGAAGGCCUUCGGGUUGUAAAGUACUUUCAGCGGGGAGGAAGGGAGUAAAGUUAAUACCUUUGCUCAUUGACGUUACCCGCAGAAGAAGCACCGGCUAACUCCGU